Xyrauchen texanus (razorback sucker) is the source of this 2467-nucleotide long non-coding RNA. RefSeq lists it as uncharacterized. Lineage: Eukaryota; Metazoa; Chordata; Actinopteri; Cypriniformes; Catostomidae. The transcript is spliced from 3 exons. The record is from RefSeq and is a predicted model, not a curated record.
CUCCUGCUGCUAGCACGGCGAAAAAACAGAGGGGAAGGAAAACUGAAGUAAUGUAAAAAAAAAUAAUAAUAAUAAAUAUUCCAACUUACUAUUUACAUGGCGAGCGGAAGUCCCGCGCAAACGGAGUUAUUUGCGGACUCCUUCGAUGAUACGUCGGAUCAAAAUGUCGAUGCCGAUGAAGACUUCCUUGUGCUGUAUUUGUUGGCCAUUUAGAAAAUCCUGCUGUCUUCUCCUGCUUCACUAGAACUGUUGUAAAGCAACAUCAGGAGUUUCUAACCCCGGAUUUCCACCAACUGCGGAACGGCUGCGGAUCCGCUCAGGAACGGCGGCGGAGUCAAUAGGUUUCCAUUAAAGUCAAUGUGUGCAUUUUCACUGACUGCGGAACGGCUGCGUUCCGACUCCGUCCCAGCUCCGGCGACCGCAGCCCUCCGGAGAAGAUACGCAGAGUUUCUAUUUUUGCCGGAUGCCGGAGAGCGCCGCAGGAAGUCGAGCACAGAAAUAAAACCAAAACAUUAUUGUCACUCAUAAGUACAAUUUAAACCAAACAAAUUUUGUUUUAUAUACUUUUUCCUUUUCCAACAAGAACAAUAGUUAACUUUUUACACAACCUACUACUUCCCAAUACAUUCAAAAAGGAACCCAAAAUAAACAUUUAGCAUUUUAUAAGUUGAUCAAUUAUAAAUAUUGUACUUACCCAUGGUAGAAUCACAAUAAUCUCCACAAAAAAGGGAGAUCAGCAGGUCAGCAAAUAGAUGUUUCCCCUGUACUCCUCUGGAUGGAAACAAACUGUUGCUGGUUUUGUAGUUCUGUUUAUAGAAACUACAUCCUGUUAUAUCGCGCGAUCAUACGUAAAUUCGCGAGAUAUCGUGUGUCCUCGUGACUUCAGCUGUCAGUCAUGGCCGCAGCCGUUCCGCAACAAAUCCGUAUCUGGUAGGUAUUGAAGGACGGCAGAGCACGGAUCCGACACGCAGCGGAGCCGAUCCGCAGCCAUUCCGCAGUUGGUGGAAAUCCGGGGUAAGUGUAAAUUAGGCUGCUUGAGCAUUAUGUGUCAGAUCAAGUUUUGAGAAGUAGUGCUGCGUUCCAUACAACUGGAAUGCAUUUAUGGUUGGAGAUAUCAAGUAGGACUAACCAAAAUCCAACUUGAGUGGAACGCAGCAUAACCAUAUACCCUGACGAAAUGAAAUUUAUUGCAAGCAACAUUUAAAUCGUAAAUAUUAUUUUAUAGAUUUUUCCAGUUAUAAUAGACCUCCUUGGUAGAUUCAUAUGAAAAUGUUAGAUUUUUGAAUGUCUGUUCAGGAGAAAAAAAGAGUUUCUAAAACAGUCAUGCCGCAGUUAAAAUUAGGCUUACUUGAGAAUUAAGUGUGGUUUCAAGUUCUGGCUUUCAUGCGUGGACAUGUUUUUAAAAUGUCAAUUGGUAUUACUAGUUAGCUGCGAAAUAAUGUAUGAUGCCCAAAGACAUAGAGUGUCUUAUUAGUUGUGAAAGUGUGUUUUCUUAAUGGCAUGAAUCACAUCACAUUGAAGGCCUAGAUUUUAAAUGGACUGCCCACAACUGAUGGGAACUGACUGAUAAGGAGUUACUAUUAGCUGCUUUGAGUCAUUGCUUUCCUAUUCUUGACAGAAAAUAAUGAUCAAACUGAUGUCUCCCUCAAGCAAUGAAAAGUUCAGGCUUUAGCAAAGUUUGAGAUUUGAUUGGUGCUUAAGAAAAAUGCUUUGUAAAGCUUUGACACCUUAACCAAUUUGUUUCAAAUCAAUGCUUCUAAGCUCAAGUCAAGUCAAGUCAAGUGAUUUUUAUUGUUGUUAUUAAUGAUCAGGUCUUGUGAUUUCAUCAACAGGUGUUGUCAGUGUGUGGUUGUGCAAGUGCUUGUAAUCACAGAAUAAUUUACUGAACCUUUUAACAAACCAAAUGAGUCAUUUGAUUCACAGCUUUGAAAAGUUCUGUGUCAUCCAUCCUUGCAUUUAACAGUAUCACACCUAAAUCAAAGGAACACUGAUCUCACCCACGGUAAAAAAACUAAAACAAAACAAAAAACCAUGUCAUAACAUAAAUUUACACAUAACCCCCAAUAACUUUUAAAUGUUAAUUAAUAACACCCCCAAACACUCCCAAAACCUGCACAGAUGUACCUCAUUAAUUGUACUAUGACAACAGCCAAUAGCAUGUCCUCAAGCAUGAACAACAACAGAUAUUAAAGUAUUAUACUUGUAAAGACUAUAAUUCAGUGUAGUUUUAGCAUCUGAUAUUCUUCUAAAUAUGUAAAUGUGCCAUUGUGCACCUAGAAAAGUGGCAUCUGAUCAAUCCAUCUAACCACUGAUCUACAAAAGCCCCGGAACCUGAAUAAAACAAGACAGAAAUGAAUGAAAGUGGAUGAGGGCAUGCCUUUCUGUGUUGAUUGUAGACAUGUGUUAAACACAAGUCCAGAUGUUUAUGUAAGUAGUUAUAACUUGCAUGAUAUGACUUAUAUGAUAG